RNAcentral lists this unclassified non-coding RNA (1003 nucleotides) under Thrips palmi. Its description in RNAcentral is "uPF0430 protein CG31712, transcript variant X4". Lineage: Eukaryota; Metazoa; Arthropoda; Insecta; Thysanoptera; Thripidae. The record is from RNAcentral.
GCUUCUGCACGUCUGCUGAAAUUCUCCAUCUUGUGCAUUUCCUCUUUACCUCGCUCAUCAACGUUGUUUCGUAUUUCUUCGUUGUACAAAUUGGCUGAUUAAGUUAGUUAAAUUCUCUCUAGAGGUUCACAAUGGGCCAUUCUCGGUCUAGGAGUAAAUCCCCCCGCAGCAAAUCUCCUUCGCGGAGACACAAAAGCAAGCAUUCGAGAAAGAGGUCCAAAUCACGGGACAGAGUGAAAACAUCACAUAGUAAACACUCAAGGAAAUCUAGAGAAAGAAGUGCCAAGCCAAGCCACAAACAUGCACGGUCUGGGUCUUCAUCAAGUAGUUCAUCAUCUUCAGAUGAAUUCAAAAUGCACACAAAGAAACGCAAGAUGGAUGAGGUUGAACGAUUGGCAGAAAUGGAAAGGCAAAGAAAUUCUUUGAUUGUCUCUCACAGGCGGCAGCGGGAGAUGGAGCAACGCCUAGUUGAAGAAGAGACUGCAAAACGUAUAGAGGAAAUGGUUAAAAAACGUGUAGAAGAAGAAUUAGAAAAAAGGAAAGAGGAAAUAGAGCAAGAAGUUUUAAGAAGAAUAGAGGAGGCCAAACGAGAAAUGGAGAAGGAGAUGAUGGAGGAGAUGGAGAGACGUCGCCAGGUGCUACUAGAAGAGGAAAAGAAAAGACAGAUACGGGAUACAACUUUUUUGCAUGCAUGCAUUGGAGCAUGCGCUCACUGGUUUGCGGAACUCAGGGAACACAACAAGCAGAUUGAAGGCUUAGUUCGGCUAAAGUGCUUUGCAGCAGAGUCUUACAGCUGAGGAAGACUGAGGACUUAAAGCAGCCAGACAUGCUGCGGGUUUGGUGGUCCUCGUCUGCACCAUCAAGGCAGGUUGCUUGUGGCUUUUAGUGUCAGCCACGUGAAGUUUACGCUGACUCUUGUGGAAGAGGAAGAAAAGAAACGAGAAGCCCUGGAGCAGAUCAUGGCAGAAAAUAAUCGGAAAAUUGAAGAAGCACAACGAAAAUU